Molecule: ribosomal RNA, 253 nt
Filed under: uncultured bacterium
Lineage: Bacteria
Description: partial 16S ribosomal RNA
Rfam family: Bacterial small subunit ribosomal RNA
Source: RNAcentral
UACGGAGGGGGCUAGCGUUGUUCGGAAUUACUGGGCGUAAAGCGCACGUAGGCGGCUUUGUAAGUUAGAGGUGAAAGCCCGGGGCUCAACUCCGGAAUUGCCUUUAAGACUGCAUCGCUAGAAUUGUGGAGAGGUAAGUGGAAUUCCGAGUGUAGAGGUGAAAUGCGUAGAUAUCAGGAGGAACACCGGUGGUGUAGACGGCUAUCUGGACCGUAACUGACGCUGAGGCACGAAAGCGUGGGUAGCAAACAGG